Molecule: ribosomal RNA, 290 nt
Filed under: uncultured Anaplasma sp.
Lineage: Bacteria; Pseudomonadati; Pseudomonadota; Alphaproteobacteria; Rickettsiales; Anaplasmataceae
Description: partial 16S ribosomal RNA
Rfam family: Bacterial small subunit ribosomal RNA
Source: RNAcentral
GAACGCUGGCGGCAAGCUUAACACAUGCAAGUCGAACGGAUUUUUGUCGUAGCUUGCUAUGAUAAAAAUUAGUGGCAGACGGGUGAGUAAUGCAUAGGAAUCUACCUAGUAGUAUGGGAUAGCCACUAGAAAUGGUGGGUAAUACUGUAUAAUCCCUGCGGGGGAAAGAUUUAUCGCUAUUAGAUGAGCCUAUGUUAGAUUAGCUAGUUGGUAGGGUAAAGGCCUACCAAGGCAGUGAUCUAUAGCUGGUCUGAGAGGAUGAUCAGCCACACUGGAACUGAGAUACGGUC